This 60-nucleotide transfer RNA is filed under the name Cyrtodactylus sp. PPT-2020. RNAcentral describes it as "tRNA-Cys". Lineage: Eukaryota; Metazoa; Chordata; Lepidosauria; Squamata; Gekkonidae. The record is from RNAcentral.
AGUCCCGCAAAUACUCAAAGUGCAAAUUUGAGGCAGCACCCCAAAGGGUGCCGGGGCUUC